This 229-nucleotide ribosomal RNA is filed under the name uncultured bacterium. Its description in RNAcentral is "partial 16S ribosomal RNA". It matches the Rfam family "Bacterial small subunit ribosomal RNA", at positions 118 to 347 of the family's 1533-position model. The record is from RNAcentral.
UGAGCAAUCUGCCCUUCUCAUCGGAAUAAGCGUUGGAAACGACGUCUAAUGCCGAAUACGACCUCCUUUCGCAUGAUCGGAGGUGGAAAGCUCCGGCGGUGAAGGAUGAGCUCGCGGCCUAUCAGCUUGUUGGUGAGGUAAUAGCUCACCAAGGCGAUGACGGGUAGCCGGCCUGAGAGGGUGACCGUCCACACUGGGACUGAGACACGGCCCAGACCUCUACGGGAGG